This 463-nucleotide ribosomal RNA is filed under the name uncultured bacterium. RNAcentral describes it as "partial 16S ribosomal RNA". It matches the Rfam family "Bacterial small subunit ribosomal RNA", at positions 28 to 507 of the family's 1533-position model. The record is from RNAcentral.
GACGAACGCUGGCGGCGUGCUUAACACAUGCAAGUCGAACGGUGAACCUCUUCGGAGGGGAUCAGUGGCGAACGGGUGAGUAACACGUGGGCAACCUGCCCCCGGCUCUGGGAUAACUCCAAGAAAUUGGGGCUAAUACCGUAUGUUCACCGCUUCCCGCAUGGGUGGUGGUGGAAAGGGUUUCCGGCUGGGGGUGGGCCCGCGGCCUAUCAGCUUGUUGGUGGGGUAGUGGCCUACCAAGGCGACGACGGGUAGCCGGCCUGAGAGGGUGACCGGCCACAAUGGGACUGAGACACGGCCCAGACUCCUACGGGAGGCAGCAGUGGGGAAUAUUACGCAAUGGGCGGAAGCCUGACGCAGAGACGCCGCGUGGGGGAUGACGGCCUUCGGGUUGUAAACCUCUUUCAGCAGGGACGAAGCGCAAGUGACGGUACCUGAAGAAGAAGCACCGGCCAACUACGUG